This is a long non-coding RNA of Ailuropoda melanoleuca (giant panda), 666 nucleotides long. RefSeq lists it as uncharacterized. The record is from RefSeq and is a predicted model, not a curated record. The transcript is spliced from 3 exons. NCBI's taxonomy places the organism in Eukaryota, Metazoa, Chordata, Mammalia, Carnivora, Ursidae.
GGCAAAAGACCCCCACUACACCCUGGGGGAGGAAGACUUGGGCCAGUGCAUUUCAGAAUGAGUCGUCUGCCAGUGUAAUAAUUCUAUCAGUCACUGAAGAAGCCCAGUCACUCCAACUUGUAGUAAGAACCCACCAUUUGCAAAUACCACAUUUAAAUUUGAUACAACAUCCAUGUAAAGAACCUAGGCUACUGAAUCUUGAGAAACCAUGUGAAAAGAAAAAGAGACACCCAGCCAGUGCUGCCCCAGCUGAAGCACCAGACAUGUGAGUGAGGAUCCUGGAUCGUUGGGCCCCAGGGGAGCAGUACCAGCCUCUGCCACAUGGAACAGAGAUGAGCCAUCCCCAGAGACCACAGCCCAACUGGAGAAUUGUGAGAAACAAUCAAUGGCUGUGGUUUUAGGGUAUGAAAUUUGCACUGGUUAGUUAUGGAGCAACAGGUAACUGAAAACAAGGCCCUAAAUGCCCUCCCAUCACUCUUAUUACCUCUUAUUUACCUUUCCCCACAAAGCCAGAGCUCCAGUCCUACAAAGCUACUUAGACAUCAACAAUGAGUCAUGGUCUUCUUUGCUGGCAUUCCUUUGCAUGUGUUACUAUUAUUUCCAGAAUGUUCAUCCUACCUUUAUCAGUCUGACUGCUAUUCAUCUUUUAAGAUUUGUUUUCUAUGU